This 215-nucleotide ribosomal RNA is filed under the name Glomeromycotina sp. RNAcentral describes it as "partial small subunit ribosomal RNA". The stretch from base 40 to 215 matches the Rfam family "Eukaryotic small subunit ribosomal RNA", at positions 686 to 864 of the family's 1831-position model. Lineage: Eukaryota; Fungi; Glomeromycota. The record is from RNAcentral.
GGGUCAGUAGGUUCGUCGUGCCACCGGUACGUACUGGUCUCACUGAUUCCUCCUUCCUGAAGAACCGUUAUGCCAUUAAUUUGGUGUUGCGGGGAAACAGGACUGUUACUUUGAAAAAUUAGAGUGUUUAAAGCAAGCUAACGCUUGAAUACAUUAGCAUGGAAUAAUGAAAUAGGACGAUCGAUCCUAUUUUGUUGGUUUCUAGGAUUGACGUA